AUGGCCAUGUAUCCAAACUGUGCAAGAGCUGCGUCUACUGCAGAUGCUUCACCCUGUUGCCCAGAGACCGCAUGUUUUUGCUGUGUGUGUGACUGCUUGCUCUGCUUCCACUAUGAAGUCAUACUACAAGGUGCUCUACAUUUCAAGAUGUUAGAACAACCGAUUAAUUUUCUGAGUUGGAACGUAAGGGGUCUGAACUGCCCGGACCGGCGUGCCACGGUCAGCGCCACGAUCGCCUCAUCGUCGUGCCAUGUCAUGUGCCUCCAAGAGACUAAGCUCGAAAAUGUUGAUCAGUUCACAGCAGCCUUCCUGGGGGGUCAUAGGUUGCGUAGCUUCGCGCAAAGGCCUGCAAUUGGCACUAGGGGUGGUAUCUUGAUGCUUUGGGAUGACCUCCUUGUGGAUGUUUCAUGCAUCAACACCACGGCGUUCUGCCUUUCCGCCAUGGUCAGUGUGAGAGGGACCGACAUGCUCUUCAAGAUCACCUCCGUCUACGGUCCCUCGGACUCCUCUUGCAAAGAUGCCUUCUUUUCUAAGCUUCUGGCAGAGAAGCCACCAACCGGGAGAAAUGUCAACCGCGGCAGGAUCAAUCGUUUCAGGGCAACGCUCCACAGUUGUGAGCUCAACGAGGUGGUUCAAAAGGCGUGGAACGAGAGGGUUGACCACACUGAGCCAUACCUCAUUCUUUACCACAAGCUCAAGAAGACGGCUCUCCGCCUCUCUGAAUGGAGUCGAGGUCUUUUCUCAAAGGCUAAAAUUCACCACCAGGGCGCGCUCUUGGUGAUAUUUCGCCUCGACAUCGCCCAAGAGGAUAUGCUCCUCUCCUCUGAGGAAAUUGAGCUCCGGGCCAGGCUCAAGAGAAGGGUCAUCGCCUUGGCGGCGCUCCAUGGGAAGGGGCUUCGGCAGGGAGACCCUAUUUCCCCGCUUCUCUUUGUCAUCGCCAUCGACCCGCUCCAAAAAAUCCUUGAUGUGGCAACAAAGAAGGGGCUCCUCCAUAAAAUCUGGGGAAGGGGGGCCAUGAUGAGGACCUCUCUCUAUGUGGACGACGCGGCCAUCUUCUUGGCACCGAUCAAGCAGGAUGUUGACAACCUUGCUAGCAUUUUGAGGGGAUUUGGGGAUGUCACGGGUCUUUGCACCAAUUUCCAAAAGAGCUCAGUGGUGCCCAUUCGUUGCAACCACCUCGAUUUGGAGUCCCUAACUCAAAGCUUGCCGGCUGCGCGUGCGUCUUUUCCUUUACGAUACUUGGGUCUCCCCCUCUCCGUGUGUAAGCUGAAAUUGGUGGACUUCCAAUUCCUCGUGGACAAAGUGGCAAGCAAGUUGCCAACGUAUGAUGGUCGAAACAUCACCAACAUCGGGCGAACGACCCUCGUCAAGUCCGUGCUCACUUCCCAUGUGGUCUACCCCGGCACCCCAUUGGUCAUACCGCCAACCAUCCUCCACAACGUCAACAAGCUCGAAAGAGCCUUCCUAUGGUCCGGCUCGGAAAAAUAUCGGGGGCCAAAUGCAAGGUGA
This 1509-nucleotide ribosomal RNA is filed under the name Triticum aestivum (bread wheat). Its description in RNAcentral is "partial small subunit ribosomal RNA". Lineage: Eukaryota; Viridiplantae; Streptophyta; Magnoliopsida; Poales; Poaceae. The record is from RNAcentral.